AUUGAACGCUGGCGGCAGGCCUAACACAUGCAAGUCGAGCGGAUGAAGGGAGCUUGCUCCUGGAUUCAGCGGCGGACGGGUGAGUAAUGCCUAGGAAUCUGCCUGGUAGUGGGGGAUAACGUCCGGAAACGGGCGCUAAUACCGCAUACGUCCUGAGGGAGAAAGUGGGGGAUCUUCGGACCUCACGCUAUCAGAUGAGCCUAGGUCGGAUUAGCUAGUUGGUGGGGUAAAGGCCUACCAAGGCGACGAUCCGUAACUGGUCUGAGAGGAUGAUCAGUCACACUGGAACUGAGACACGGUCCAGACUCCUACGGUAGGCAGCAGUGGGGAAUAUUGGACAAUGGGCGAAAGCCUGAUCCAGCCAUGCCGCGUGUGUGAAGAAGGUCUUCGGAUUGUAAAGCACUUUAAGUUGGGAGGAAGGGCAGUAAGUUAAUACCUUGCUGUUUUGACGUUACCAACAGAAUAAGAACCGGCUAACUUUGUG
This 484-nucleotide ribosomal RNA is filed under the name uncultured bacterium. Its description in RNAcentral is "partial 16S ribosomal RNA". It matches the Rfam family "Bacterial small subunit ribosomal RNA", at positions 30 to 507 of the family's 1533-position model. The record is from RNAcentral.